GACGAACGCUGGCGGCGUGCUUAACACAUGCAAGUCGAACGGAAAGGCCCUGUUUAUGUGGGGUGCUCGAGUGGCGAACGGGUGAGUAACACGUGAGUAAUCUGCCCUUGACUUUGGGAUAAUUUCAGGAAACUGGGGCUAAUACCGGAUAGGAGCUCCUGCUGCAUGGUGGGGGUUGGAAAGUUUCGGCGGUUGGGGAUGGACUCGCGGCUUAUCAGCUUGUUGGUGGGGUAGUGGCUUACCAAGGCUUUGACGGGUAGCCGGCCUGAGAGGGUGACCGGGCACAUUGGGACUGAGCUACGGCCCAGGGUCCUACGGGGGGCAGCAGUGGGGAAUGUUGCACGAUGGGCGGAAGCGAGAUGCAGCAACGCCGCGUGCGGGAUGACGAGAUUCGGGUUGUAAUCCGCUUUCGCCUGUGACGAAGCGUGAGUGGCGAUAAUGGGUAGAGAAGCGCCGGCUAACUACGUG
Molecule: ribosomal RNA, 468 nt
Filed under: uncultured bacterium
Lineage: Bacteria
Description: partial 16S ribosomal RNA
Rfam family: Bacterial small subunit ribosomal RNA
Source: RNAcentral